CCCUCGCACCCGGGCUCACCACCACCGGGUGGCUUUUGUAAAACAGCGAACGGCGAGAAAUAUGCGUUUAAUGUGGUAAAUAUAAGAGGAAUAUGCCAAAGUCAUUUAUAUGUGCCAAUCUUCCUGCUGCCAGCUGGUGGCGCUAUGACUAUAACUGGAUUUUGUCAUGUAGAUUUCUUCAGUCCAGCACUUUUAUCAAGCAUAUGAAAUUUAGUGCAGAUUGAACAUGGAAUGUUUGAGUUAGUAUAAAGUAUGUUGUGUCCUAUUGCCAACAGGUGGCGCUAUGAUUAUAACUGAACAUUGGCCUUUAGAUAUCUUCAGGCCAUGACUCUUAUCAAAUAUUUGAAGUUUGUUGCAGAUUGGAC
Molecule: long non-coding RNA, 365 nt
Organism: Cyprinus carpio carpio
Lineage: Eukaryota; Metazoa; Chordata; Actinopteri; Cypriniformes; Cyprinidae
Source: Ensembl